CCACGACCUGCAUGAUAUGGUUAGACCCUUUUAAAACUUUUGUUAUUAUUAGUGUCAACACUGAAAUUGUUGCAAGUCCAACCAUGACCUGGAUAUGAUCCUUUAUACAUGCAUGCAUACACAUCUAAGUCUCGUGCGAACUCUGAUUCUUUUUUUCUUACAUAUUUUCUUAGGAAUCCUGAGACAAAACUAUAUAUAUGGACUACUAGAUUAAGAUUUUCAUAUAAUUUGAGUGAGAAAAGAAAAAAUUAAAGAAGAACAUAAAAUACUUGAUUAGUGGAUGGGCCGCGACUCUUGUAAUCAGCACCAUAACCAUAAUCGUAACCAGCGCCAUAACCGACACGAUCUUCGUACUGCGGCUUAAGUUGAAGUCCUUUGUCAGUACGGUCGACAUUCACACGCCUGUCCACAGUCGUCAUAGCUAUUGAUAUGAUUUAAAACUACUAAAAGCAAAGUUCAAA
Molecule: long non-coding RNA, 461 nt
Organism: Brassica napus (rape)
Lineage: Eukaryota; Viridiplantae; Streptophyta; Magnoliopsida; Brassicales; Brassicaceae
Exons: 2
Source: RefSeq, a predicted model, not a curated record